UCCUGGGGGCUCAGAUGGUAAAGAAUCUGCCUCCAAUGCAGGAGACCCAGGUUCAAUCCCUGGGUCAGGAA
This 71-nucleotide transfer RNA is filed under the name Ovis aries (sheep). It matches the Rfam family "tRNA". Rfam says of the family: Transfer RNA (tRNA) molecules are approximately 80 nucleotides in length. The record is from Rfam by way of RNAcentral. Lineage: Eukaryota; Metazoa; Chordata; Mammalia; Artiodactyla; Bovidae.